CAAUGGGCGAAAGCCUGAUGCAGCGACGCCGCGUGAGGGAUGACGGCCUUCGGGUUGUAAACCUCUUUCAGCAGGGAAGAAGCGAAAGUGACGGUACCUGCAGAAGAAGCGCCGGCUAACUACGUGCCAGCAGCCGCGGUAAUACGUAGGGCGCAAGCGUUGUCCGGAAUUAUUGGGCGUAAAGAGCUCGUAGGCGGCUUGUCACGUCGAUUGUGAAAGCCCGAGGCUUAACCUCGGGUCUGCAGUCGAUACGGGCUAGCUAGAGUUCGGUAGGGGAGAUCGGAAUUCCUGGUGUAGCGGUGAAAUGCGCAGAUAUCAGGAGGAACACCGGUGGCGAAGGCGGAUCUCUGGGCCGAUACUGACGCUGAGGAGCGAAAGCGUGGGGAGCGAACAGGAUUAGAUACCCUGGUAGUCCACGCCGUAAACGGUGGGCACUAGGUGUGGGCAACAUUCCACGUUGUCCGUGCCGCAGCUAACGCAUUAAGUGCCCCGCCUGGGGAGUACGGCCGCAAGGCUAAAACUCAAAGGAAUUGACGGGGGCCCGCACAAGCGGCGGAGCAUGUGGCUUAAUUCGACGCAACGCGAAGAACCUUACCAAGGCUUGACAUACACCG
RNAcentral lists this ribosomal RNA (614 nucleotides) under Streptomyces cinnamocastaneus. RNAcentral describes it as "bacterial SSU rRNA". It matches the Rfam family "Bacterial small subunit ribosomal RNA", at positions 369 to 993 of the family's 1533-position model. Lineage: Bacteria; Bacillati; Actinomycetota; Actinomycetes; Kitasatosporales; Streptomycetaceae. The record is from RNAcentral.